Molecule: ribosomal RNA, 402 nt
Filed under: bacterium
Lineage: Bacteria
Description: partial 16S ribosomal RNA
Rfam family: Bacterial small subunit ribosomal RNA
Source: RNAcentral
UGGGGAAUUUUGCACAAUGGGGGAAACCCUGAUGCAGCGACGCCGCGUGAUUUAGAAGGCCUUCGGGUUGUAAAAAUCUUUUCUAUGGGAAUAAAAUGACAGUACCAUAGGAAUAAGGACCGGCUAAUUACGUGCCAGCAGCCGCGGUAAUACGUAAGGUCCGAGCGUUGUCCGGAAUCAUUGGGCGUAAAGGGUACGUAGGCGGGUAAGCAAGUUAGAAGUGAAAUCCUAUAGCUCAACUAUAGUAAGCUUUUAAAACUGCUCAUCUUGAGGUAUGGAAGGGAAAGUGGAAUUCCUAGUGUAGCGGUGAAAUGCGCAGAUAUUAGUAGGAAUACCGGUGGCGAAGGCGACUUUCUGGCCAUAACCUGACGCUGAGGUACGAAAGCGUGGGUAGCAAACAGG